Long non-coding RNA from Brassica rapa (field mustard), 988 nucleotides. RefSeq lists it as uncharacterized. NCBI's taxonomy places the organism in Eukaryota, Viridiplantae, Streptophyta, Magnoliopsida, Brassicales, Brassicaceae. The record is from RefSeq and is a predicted model, not a curated record.
CAAUUACCGGGGACUCUAAAAAGGGGUUUUAACAUAAAUGACCCAUUUAAAUAAAUGAAAACAAAAUUAAAAGGGAAUAAACGAUCCUUAACUAAGACCAUCUCGAAUGGCUUACUCUAUUUUUAACUCUAAAAUAGAGUAAUUUUAUAAUAGAGUUUGAGUUUACUCUAAUGGUACUCUAUUUUAGAGUAGAAAAUAGAGUGAUAAACAAAAAAAAAAUAAAUUAUUCUAUAUUUAGAGUAAAUCUAUUUUUUACUCUAUUAUAGAGUGAGAAAUAGAGUACCAUUAGAGCAUUUUUUACUUUAAACUCUAUUUUAGAGUGAAAAAUAGAGUGUGGUUGGAGAUGCUCUAAGGUAUUUGGGAACCGCUUUUUUGUGGGUUUGUUAAACCACGUGUCAGCCAUAAAACGUUUUGAAUUUUCGAUUUUAUUUUUUGUUUUCUUUCUUUCUCUUCUUUUUGGUUUUUUCUCAGUCUCGUCUUCUCCACCAACAAGGCCAUCAAAACGACGAAAGACGAUGACGCUACCGAUGACGCUAACGGCGUCGAUUUCGUCUUCUCUCUUCUUCUCCGACAGAACACCGGUCGAAACCACAACGGAGAUCGACUCUCUCGGUCCUCAUCACGGCGUCGAUUGCGUCUUCUCUCUUCUUCUCCGUCAGAAGACCGAUCGAUUCAACUUCGAGAACACUUCACAAGAGUGAGACAAAGAGAAAAAGCCAUUUGAUGUCACAAGAGAGGUCAAGAGAAGUCACGGGUUUUGUAAGCAUGUGUGUGUGUGUCAAGAGAAGUCACGAGUUUUGUAAGCAAUCAGUAUGUGUUUGUAUGUGUCGAGUGUUUGUGUGUAACGAGUGUUUGUAUCUGUCACAAGUGUUUGUGAGUGUUUGUAUGUGUCAUGGGUGUUGUUUGUGUCAGUCGGGUAUGUAUUCAAGAGCAAAACACAAGUCACAAAGCAUUGCAUUAUAUAAAAGAGAGACAUUGUAAAACACAA